RNAcentral lists this long non-coding RNA (380 nucleotides) under Phoenix dactylifera (date palm). RNAcentral's name for it is "long non-coding RNA (PDAC_LNC007664)". Lineage: Eukaryota; Viridiplantae; Streptophyta; Magnoliopsida; Arecales; Arecaceae. The record is from RNAcentral.
CAUGUCAGCUAAAGGAGGUGUUCAACCUCCACAAGAAUUCAACCACCAUUAGACAUGUUAGCAAUUCAAUCGAAACAACCCAAGAGAUUUUCAUAGGGAAAAUGAUCUAACACCAUGUUCAGCAAAAUCUAUUGAAAUUGACAUAAAAACAAACUCCAAGAACGAAAAUAAAUCAUUAAAACCUCCAAAAUGUUUCAUAAAUCACAUAGGCCAAGUCCCAGAACGAGAUGAUCAUCACAAAACUAGAACCCAACAAAUCACAGACAGCUAGGACACGAAAUAACACGGAGAUCUCCACCUAACACUAAAACUAGUUUAGAAAUCAAGAACCAACCAAACCCGAACUAGAUUAGAAAUCAAGGACCAGCCAAUCCCGAACU